Molecule: long non-coding RNA, 356 nt
Filed under: Setaria viridis
Lineage: Eukaryota; Viridiplantae; Streptophyta; Magnoliopsida; Poales; Poaceae
Description: long non-coding RNA (SVIR_LNC010141)
Source: RNAcentral
GUGGCACUGGCGGAGUCGACUGGGCUUGACCUGAAGCAGAUCAACAAUUGGUUCAUCAACCAGCGGAAGCGGCACUGGAAGCCAUCUGAGGAGAUGCACCACCUGAUGAUGGACGGGUACCACACAACCGGCGCCUUCUAUAUGGAUGGACACUUCAUCAAUGAUGGCGGGCUGUACCGGCUCGGCUAGCGCCAUCAUCGCUUCCAUUUUACCACAACCUAGCUAAACACUAAUGGUUCCAAGUGUCUGAAGUACCGAAGACUUGGCUAGCUAUCUAAUGUCGUGUGUGCCGCAUGCAUGAGCUUUAAGGAGGCCAUGCUAAAUUAUUUUGUUGCCAUUGCUACUCAAUCUAUGCC